Molecule: small nucleolar RNA, 72 nt
Organism: Lupinus angustifolius (narrow-leaved blue lupine)
Lineage: Eukaryota; Viridiplantae; Streptophyta; Magnoliopsida; Fabales; Fabaceae
Rfam family: Small nucleolar RNA R12
About the family: snoR12 is a C/D box small nucleolar RNA, which acts as a methylation guide for 25S ribosomal RNA in plants. snoR12 has been alternatively named snoZ44 in Arabidopsis and snoZ131 in rice.
Source: Rfam
UGUUGAAUGAUGAUAAAAUCAUUCGGAUUCCCAAUGAUAUUAUAUAUGAUCUUACAAUUAAGUCUGACAACA